UGGUGGAGUGAUAUGUCUGGUUAAUUCCGUUAACGAACGAGACCCCUGCCUGCUAAAUAGUCUGGCGAGUGAUCUUCACUGGCUGUGGCUUCUUAGAGGGACGUGCAUUCGACUAGUUGCAGGAAGAUAGGGGCAAUAACA
RNAcentral lists this ribosomal RNA (141 nucleotides) under uncultured eukaryote. RNAcentral's name for it is "partial 18S ribosomal RNA". It matches the Rfam family "Eukaryotic small subunit ribosomal RNA", at positions 1299 to 1458 of the family's 1831-position model. The record is from RNAcentral.